This 217-nucleotide ribosomal RNA is filed under the name uncultured bacterium. Its description in RNAcentral is "partial 16S ribosomal RNA". It matches the Rfam family "Bacterial small subunit ribosomal RNA", at positions 15 to 223 of the family's 1533-position model. The record is from RNAcentral.
GAUCCUGGCUCAGGAUGAACGCUAGCUACAGGCUUAACACAUGCAAGUCGAGGGGCAGCAUGGUCUUAGCUUGCUAAGGCCGAUGGCGACCGGCGCACGGGUGAGUAACACGUAUCCAACCUGCCGUCUACUCUUGGACAGCCUUCUGAAAGGAAGAUUAAUACAAGAUGGCAUCAUGAGUUCACAUGUUCACAUGAUUAAAGGUAUUCCGGUAAGA